Molecule: ribosomal RNA, 119 nt
Filed under: Petromyzon marinus (sea lamprey)
Lineage: Eukaryota; Metazoa; Chordata; Hyperoartia; Petromyzontiformes; Petromyzontidae
Source: RNAcentral
GGCUUGUUUUUGUGCACCCGGAAUGCGACCGGUCUCGUCAGAUCUCGGAAGCUAAGCAGGUUUGAGCCUGGAUAGUGUUUGAAUGGGCGACCACCAGUGGUGGCUCGUCAUCAGGGCCC